AUGUUAUUGGUCCAUACACAUAUUUAUCAGAUGUUAUUGGUCCAUACACAUAUUUAUCAGAUGUUAUUGGUCACAUACACAUAUUUAGCAGAUGUUAUUGGUCCAUAUUUAACAGAUGUUAUUGGUCCAUACACAUAUUUAGCAGAUGUUACUGGUCCAUACACAUAUUUAACAGAUGUUAUUGGUCCAUAUUUAACAGAUGUUAUUGGUCCAUAUUUAACAGAUGUUAUUGGUCCAUAUUUAACAGAUGUUAUUGGUCCAUACACAUAUUUAGCAGAUGUUACUGGUCCAUACACAUAUUUAACAGAUGUUAUUGGUCCAUAUUUAACAGAUGUUAUUGGUCCAUAUUUAUCAGAUGUUAUUGGUCCAUACACAUAUUUAACAGAUGUUAUUGGUCCAUACACAUGUUUAGCAGAUGUUAUUGGUCCAUAUUUAACAGAUGUUAUUGGUCCAUACACAUAUUUAUCAGAUGUUAUUGGUCCAGACACAUAUUUAACAGAUGUUAUUGGUCCAUACACAUGUUUAGCAGAUGUUAUUGGUCCAUACACAUAUUUAACAGAUGUUAUUGGUCCAUACACAUAUUUAACAGAUGUUAUUGGUCCAUAUUUAACAGAUGUUAUUGGUCCAUAUUUAACAGAUGUUAUUGGUCCAUAUUUAACAGAUGUUAUUGGUCCAUAUUUAACAGAUGUUAUUGGUCCAUACACAUAUUUAACAGAUGUUAUUGGUCCAUAUUUAACAGAUGUUAUUGGUCCAUAUUUAACAGAUGUUAUUGGUCCAUAUUUAACAGAUGUUAUUGGUCCAUACACAUAUUUAACAGAUGUUAUUGGUCCAUAUUUAACAGAUGUUAUUGGUCCAUUUUUAACAGAUGUUAUUGGUCCAUAUUUAGCAGAUGUUAUUGGUCCAUAUUUAACAGAUGUUAUUGGUCCAUAUUUAACAGAUGUUAUUGGUCCAUACACAUAUUUAACAGAUGUUAUUGGUCCAUACACAUAUUUAGCAGAUGUUAUUGGUCCAUACACAUGUUUAUCAGAUGUUAUUGGUCCAUAUUUAGCAGAUGUUAUUGGUCCAUAUUUAACAGAUGUUAUUGGUCCAUAUUUAACAGAUGUUAUUGGUCCAUACACAUAUUUAGCAGAUGUUAUUGGUCCAUACACAUGUUUAUCAGAUGUUAUUGGUCCAUAUUUAGCAGAUGUUAUUGGUCCAUAUUUAACAGAUGUUAUUGGUCCAUAUUUAACAGAUGUUAUUGGUCCAUACACAUAUUUAACAGAUGUUAUUGGUCCAUACACAUAUUUAACAGAUGUUAUUGGUCCAUAUUUACCAGAUGUUACUGGUCCAUAUUUAACAGAUGUUAUUGGUCCAUAUUUAACAGAUGUUAUUGGUCCAUAUUUAACAGAUGUUAUUGGUCCAUACACAUAUUUAACAGAUGUUAUUGGUCCAUACACAUGUUUAGCAGAUGUUAUUGGUCCAUACACAUAUUUAACAGAUGUUAUUGGUCCAUAUUUAACAGAUGUUAUUGGUCCAUAUUUAACAGAUGUUAUUGGUCCAUAUUUAACAGAUGUUAUUGGUCCAUACACAUAUUUAACAGAUGUUAUUGGUCACAUACACAUAUUUAACAGAUGUUAUUGGUCCAUAUUUAACAGAUGUUAUUGGUCCAUAUUUAUCAGAUGUUAUUGGUCCAUACACAUAUUUAUCAGAUGUUAUUGGUCCAUACACAUAUUUAUCAGAUGUUAUUGGUCCAUACACAUAUUUAUCAGAUGUUAUUGGUCCAUACACAUAUUUAACAGAUGUUAUUGGUCCAUAUUUAACAGAUGUUAUUGGUCCAUACACAUAUUUAACAGAUGUUAUUGGUCCAUACACAUAUUUAACAGAUGUUAUUGCAGGUGUAGUGAAAUGCCAUCUUACGUCGUCAUGUCCCUGAUUGAAGAACCCGGCACACAAUACAUCUGGUCCUUGUGUACUAUAGAGUCCAGAUAG
Molecule: long non-coding RNA, 1968 nt
Organism: Oncorhynchus mykiss (rainbow trout)
Lineage: Eukaryota; Metazoa; Chordata; Actinopteri; Salmoniformes; Salmonidae
Source: Ensembl